CAAUCUCAGUUCAGACUGCAGGCUGCAACUCGCCUGCACGAAGUCGGAAUUGCUAGUAAUCGUAGGUCAGCAUACUACGGUGAAUACGUUCCCGGGCCUUGUACACACCGCCCGUCAAACCAUGAGAGUUGGCAACACCCGAAGUCGGUAGUCUAACCGCAAGGAGGACGCCGCCGAAGGUGGGGUUGAUGAUUAGGGUUAAGUCGUAACAAGGUAAC
Molecule: ribosomal RNA, 218 nt
Filed under: uncultured bacterium
Lineage: Bacteria
Description: partial 16S ribosomal RNA
Rfam family: Bacterial small subunit ribosomal RNA
Source: RNAcentral